Molecule: transfer RNA, 73 nt
Filed under: Eudocimus ruber
Lineage: Eukaryota; Metazoa; Chordata; Aves; Pelecaniformes; Threskiornithidae
Description: tRNA-Asn
Source: RNAcentral
UAGAUGGAAGCUUGCAGGUUUAGGCAUUUAGCUGUUAACUAGAAUUUUGUGGGAUCAAGGCCCACCCAUCUAG